This 482-nucleotide ribosomal RNA is filed under the name uncultured bacterium. RNAcentral describes it as "partial 16S ribosomal RNA". It matches the Rfam family "Bacterial small subunit ribosomal RNA", at positions 30 to 507 of the family's 1533-position model. The record is from RNAcentral.
AUUGAACGCUGGCGGCAUGCCUUACACAUGCAAGUCGAACGGUAACGGGCCUUCGGGUGCCGACGAGUGGCGAACGGGUGAGUAAUACAUCGGAACGUGCCCGAUCGUGGGGGAUAACGAGGCGAAAGCUUUGCUAAUACCGCAUACGAUCUACGGAUGAAAGCAGGGGACCGUAAGGCCUUGCGCGGACGGAGCGGCCGAUGGCAGAUUAGGUAGUUGGUGGGAUAAAAGCUUACCAAGCCGACGAUCUGUAGCUGGUCUGAGAGGAUGAUCAGCCACACUGGGACUGAGACACGGCCCAGACUCCUACGGGAGGCAGCAGUGGGGAAUUUUGGACAAUGGGCGCAAGCCUGAUCCAGCCAUGCCGCGUGCAGGAUGAAGGCCUUCGGGUUGUAAACUGCUUUUGUACGGAACGAAAAGCCUUCUUUUAAUACAGGAGGGUCAUGACGGUACCGUAAGAAUAAGCACCGGCUAACUACGUG